AGCUUAAAGAUGCUGUCUAUGAAGAUGACGACUUGCUGGACGACAUUGCUUAUGAAGCUCCAGGCUCCAAGUUAGAAGUUGGAUCUUCCAGGAAAAAGGUGCUCAAAUUUCUCUUCUCACCGUCAUAAUCAUAAUCAUACCAAAAUUCAACAAGGGGUGAAUGCGAAAUUGGAACGGAUCCUUGGCCUACUUGAACACUUAGUAAAACAAACUGAUGCCCUUGGCAUGAGAAAGGGUAUUGGAGAAAAACCAUCAUCGCAGAAAACAUCGACCAUUUCAAAGCCAGAUGAUGAAUAUGGUAUUUAUGGUAGGGACGAUGACAAGAAAGCCAUAAUACACGUUGUAAAUAGCUUGUAUGUUAGAUAGU
Molecule: unclassified non-coding RNA, 367 nt
Filed under: Hevea brasiliensis (rubber tree)
Lineage: Eukaryota; Viridiplantae; Streptophyta; Magnoliopsida; Malpighiales; Euphorbiaceae
Source: RNAcentral